AAUCUACUCUAUCCGUUCGAAAAUACUUGUCGUAGGAAUGGAUGUAUCUAGAUCUAUUUUAGUUAUAGAUACAUCCACAUUUAUUCAUUUUUGCGACAAGUAAUUCCGGACAGAGGGAGUAUAAU
This is a non-coding RNA of Hordeum vulgare subsp. vulgare (domesticated barley), 125 nucleotides long. The record is from Rfam. Lineage: Eukaryota; Viridiplantae; Streptophyta; Magnoliopsida; Poales; Poaceae.